This 253-nucleotide ribosomal RNA is filed under the name uncultured bacterium. RNAcentral describes it as "partial 16S ribosomal RNA". It matches the Rfam family "Bacterial small subunit ribosomal RNA", at positions 524 to 776 of the family's 1533-position model. The record is from RNAcentral.
UACGUAGGGUGCAAGCGUUGUCCGGAAUUAUUGGGCGUAAAGAGCUCGUAGGUGGCCUGUCGCGUCGGCUGUGAAAACUCGGGGCUCAACUCCGAGCUUGCAGUCGAUACGGGCAGGCUAGAGUUCGGCAGGGGAGACUGGAAUUCCUGGUGUAGCGGUGAAAUGCGCAGAUAUCUGGAGGAACACCGGUGGCGAAGGCGGCAUCCUGGACCAACACUGACGCUGAGGAGCGAAAGCCAGGGGAGCAAACGGG